CAUGGAAAAAGAAUUCUAGAAAGGCUAUAUUUAGAGCAGAAGCAGAAGCACAAAGUACCCUAUGUGAUCAACUAGUUCAAUACCAUCAUUUUACAGAAGAGAAAGUUUAGUAACCUACCCAAAAUCACACAGUCAGUGACUGUGCUAACUCAAAUCCAGGUACCCCAACUGUCAGUUCAGUCUUCCCACUGUCUCUGCCUCUCUUUGACUCUGUUCCUCUUUCUCUGUGUCCCACUCUGUCUCUUUUCCCACCUUGACAUCUGAUUACAAAUCUCUCCACUUUUGCUCCUUUCUCCUAGGAUGUUAAUAAAUGGAUUGGCAUGAAAAUUUUCAUGCAUGUCAUGUACUUAAUCCUGGGUUUGAAAGCCACUGCAGUUGGCUUCACUAACUCACUUAUUUUAUUUUGCAUUGUGGGAGUUAGGGUGUCAGGAAUGCAUGCUGAUUUAUACAAAAUGACAUUCAAAUGGCUCCACUGAGCCAAGAGUUGUUACUUUCUAAGAAGAACUUCAGCUAUGGAUCAUAGUGCCCUUUGCUUGGUAGGUGCUCAAUAUGCUUGAUGAUGAUGAUGGUGAUUCAGUACUAUGAGGACAAAGGCAUGUCAUCAUAAAGGGAGGUGUGCAGGGAGUUCAGGAUUAAACACUGUCCUGGAAAGAUCUCCAACUAAAGGUCACAGCCUUCUGUAUCCAAAAUGGAUUCUGUAAGUCAGUGAGACUUCUGCCACUUCCCACUGUCAGUUCUAUUGACUGGCUUCUGCUGGAUGAGAUAUAGACCAGGAAGUGAAGCAUAAAAAUGACUACUGAGAUCACUGAAACCUAAGUUUCAAGAAGAUUACAGUCUAGUUUGAGAAUCAACACUAAGACACAGGGGACAAUUUGAGAACAACAGAUGGCAAAGGAUAAUCAUUAUGGCAGGUACAAUGGAACAACUGCUCAACUCAACCCCUCUUCUGCCUUGGAACCAAUACUUAGUAGCAAUUCUAAGACAAAAGAACAUGCCACCUCAGUGCCUUUGCAGAAGCUGUGUCCUUGCCUGGAAUGUUCUCCUUCUUCAUCUCUGCCUCUUGGAACCCCGAGAGCCCUUCAAGGCUUAGCUCAAGUUCCACCUCCAUAGCCCUCCAAUUGUUUGUACCCUUCUGCAUU
Molecule: long non-coding RNA, 1139 nt
Filed under: Monodelphis domestica (gray short-tailed opossum)
Lineage: Eukaryota; Metazoa; Chordata; Mammalia; Didelphimorphia; Didelphidae
Description: lncRNA (ENSMODG00000046326.1)
Source: RNAcentral